Esox lucius (northern pike) is the source of this 532-nucleotide long non-coding RNA. Lineage: Eukaryota; Metazoa; Chordata; Actinopteri; Esociformes; Esocidae. The record is from Ensembl.
CAGCUCACUAGCAAGAAACUUCAAAGUCCUGCCUCCUCCGGUGGAAAUUAGACCUGCCAUGGAUGAACUGACAGUAGCCGAGCUAAAAGAAGCCAGCCAGCCAGCACUAGUCUGCCUAUGGUGGGAGGUUUGAUUUGGGAUGGGGGAAUUGGUGGCCCAGCAGGUCUGCCUGGUCUGCUGGUCUGGGCAUCCAUCGAUGGAAGUGCAUCACACCUCUGGCCAGCUAGAGGCUCCUCCUCCCUGUUCCUCCUCCCUGUUCCUCAUCCUUGCCGACUGAGUGACCGAUCGUCAGUCUUGCUGAAUGGUCAAAGAGCGCGUCGAGCUGUCACGCACCAGCGCCACCGGGGAGGGGCCAUCCUACGCCCGCGCCGCCUAGUUCGCCGUUACCCACAAGGCACCUGGACAGGAGAGGGACCCGCAGGGGCCGGAGACAGGAAGAGUGUCAGCUUGGCCAAAAUGAGGGUCACCCCCCCCCACUCCCCACCCAGCAGAGAUGUCCCCGGGGGGAGACGGACAGGAAUGCUGAUAAAAC